RNAcentral lists this long non-coding RNA (470 nucleotides) under Lactuca sativa (garden lettuce). Its description in RNAcentral is "long non-coding RNA (LSAT_LNC003699)". Lineage: Eukaryota; Viridiplantae; Streptophyta; Magnoliopsida; Asterales; Asteraceae. The record is from RNAcentral.
GGAUAGUCGGAUCCCGACUCGAUCCGGUCCGAUCUCGUUGACGACCGCCUCGACGAUUUCCAGAGCGAAUCGGCAGCGGUUUUGUAAAGAGCCGCCGUAUUGAUCGGUCCGAUCGUUCACUUGAUCUUUCAUGAAUUGCUCGAUCAGGUAACCAUGAGCGCCGUGGAUCUCAACUCCGUCAAAACCUAUAUAUGUUUUACACAAAUUGUACAAUGGUUAAAAUUGACCUUACAAUGGUUCUUAUUAUAUAGAGGUAAUCAUCUUACCAGCUUCAAUUGCAUUUCUUGCAGCAACUCUGAAAUCAUUAACAACAAGCGGAAUCUCCUCUGUAGUUAGCUUCCUUGGAGGUGUAAAUUUUGCAACAUCAAUUCCAUUGCUUCGUAGUUGAGGAAAUAGUUCUUUGUCAGAAGAAGAUAUUGGCGCUUGCCCAUUUGGCUGAAAACCUGCUCAACCAAUGAAAAUCUAAGGGU